GAUGAACGCUGGCGGCGUGCCUAAUACAUGCAAGUCGAGCGAACAGAUGAGGAGCUUGCUCCUCUGACGUUAGCGGCGGACGGGUGAGUAACACGUGGAUAACCUACCUAUAAGACUGGGAUAACUUCGGGAAACCGGAGCUAAUACCGGAUAAUAUAUUGAACCGCAUGGUUCAAUAGUGAAAGACGGUUUUGCUGUCACUUAUAGAUGGAUCCGCGCCGCAUUAGCUAGUUGGUAAGGUAACGGCUUACCAAGGCAACGAUGCGUAGCCGACCUGAGAGGGGGAUCGGCCACACUGGAACUGAGACACGGUCCAGACUCCUACGGGAGGCAGCAGUAGGGAAUCUUCCGCAAUGGGCGAAAGCCUGACGGAGCAACGCCGCGUGAGUGAUGAAGGGCUUCGGAUCGUAAAACUCUGUUAUUAGGGAAGAACAAAUGUGUAAGUAACGAUGCACGUCUUGACGGUACCGAAUCAGAAAGCCACGGCGAACUACGG
RNAcentral lists this ribosomal RNA (496 nucleotides) under uncultured bacterium. RNAcentral's name for it is "partial 16S ribosomal RNA". It matches the Rfam family "Bacterial small subunit ribosomal RNA", at positions 28 to 506 of the family's 1533-position model. The record is from RNAcentral.